AUACGUAGGUGGCGAGCGUUGUCCGGAAUUACUGGGCGUAAAGGGCGCGUAGGCGGUCCGCUAAGUCAGAUGUGAAAACCCCGGGCUCAACCUGGGGAUUGCAUUUGAAACUGGCAGACUAGAGUGUCGGAGAGGAAGGCGGAAUUCCUAGUGUAGCGGUGAAAUGCGUAGAUAUUAGGAGGAACACCAGUGGCGAAGGCGGCUUUCUGGACGAUAACUGACGCUGAGGCGCGAAAGCGUGGGGAGCAAACAGGAUUAGAUACCCUGGUAGUCCACGCUGUAAACGAUGGAUACUAGGUGUGGGUGGUUUAAUACCAUCCGUGCCGCAGUAAACGCAAUAAGUAUCCCGCCUGGGGAGUACGGCCGCAAGGUUGAA
This 376-nucleotide ribosomal RNA is filed under the name uncultured bacterium. RNAcentral describes it as "bacterial SSU rRNA". It matches the Rfam family "Bacterial small subunit ribosomal RNA", at positions 523 to 898 of the family's 1533-position model. The record is from RNAcentral.